GACGAACGCUGGCGGCGUGCUUAACACAUGCAAGUCGAGCGAUGAAGUUCCUUCGGGAAUGGAUUAGCGGCGGACGGGUGAGUAACACGUGGGUAACCUGCCUCAUAGAGGGGAAUAGCCUUCCGAAAGGAAGAUUAAUACCGCAUAAGAUUGUAGUACCGCAUGGCAUAGCAAUUAAAGGAGCAAUCCGCUAUGAGAUGGACCCGCGUCGCAUUAGCUAGUUGGUGAGGUAACGGCUCACCAAGGCGACGAUGCGUAGCCGACCUGAGAGGGUGAUCGGCCACAUUGGGACUGAGACACGGCCCAGACUCCUACGGGAGGCAGCAGUGGGGAAUAUUGCACAAUGGGGGAAACCCUGAUGCAGCAACGCCGCGUGAGUGAUGACGGCCUUCGGAUUGUAAAACUCUGUCUUCAGGGACGAUAAUGACGGUACCUGAGGAGGAAGCCACGGCUAACUACGUGCCAGCAGCCGCAGUAA
Molecule: ribosomal RNA, 478 nt
Filed under: uncultured bacterium
Lineage: Bacteria
Description: partial 16S ribosomal RNA
Rfam family: Bacterial small subunit ribosomal RNA
Source: RNAcentral